RNAcentral lists this long non-coding RNA (3007 nucleotides) under Capsicum annuum. Its description in RNAcentral is "long non-coding RNA (CANN_LNC002908)". Lineage: Eukaryota; Viridiplantae; Streptophyta; Magnoliopsida; Solanales; Solanaceae. The record is from RNAcentral.
CACCACCUCUCGGCACUAAGGCACCACCCUACGCCAUGUGCUCAUUUUUUUCAAUGUUAAAUAUAAUUCUCAUGAAAUAAUCUCUGUUGUCUUAUAUAGUGUUCCCUCAUUCUACCAUCAAGCUUAUAAGUAUCUGUAUCGCUCUCUAUGUUUCAAGUCUUCACAAUAUUUUCUAUUAUCGUAAGUCUCUUUACUUAGAAGUUCUUAGGCAACAUGUCAUAUACAUCACAAGUUAUGAAUAUAAGUAAAUAGUAAUAUCAUAGAUGUACUUGUAUAUUUUAAUAAGUGAUCAUUAUCGUUAUUCACAUGUCAUAGGACUUUAAGGCAUUAUUUGAUAAACAUCAAUGAUGGGAGGGUACAUAGGUUUUGCUUGGUAUAUCCAUUCGACGCAAUUCUGUGAUCAAUAUCAAGACCAUAGCAUUAUAGUGAGCCUAGACAUUGGGCGUACCUGUCUUUAUGGCAUUAUUUGUAUUUAGAGUCAGUUGAAAUGCCAUGCACCGGUUUCCCCUAACUCGAGCGAAUAUAUGGCAUAUACGACCUGCAAGCAGACCGACAGAGUAAGCCCUUGGGAGGAGGGGGGGAGGACGUACCUUAUAUCAGUCUGUGGUUUCAAUUUUCAUAUGAAAUCAUAGCAAUGAGUAUGUGAGCAACAUACGCUUUAGACUUGCCCCAGAUUGCCUUCGGUAGUCCAUCUUGUGAUCAUUUGUAUUACAUAUAGGUUAAAUGCAUCACCUAGGCCAAUUAUUGGUUGUAUAUUAUAACAAAUACAUUCACGGACAUUAUAUGAUGAACUAAAAAGGUUAGUGUAUAGGUUACAGUUUCAUAUCAUAUAUAUGUUACUUAUUUGCUCAUACGUCAUUCACUUUGGUAUUUGAUUCAUAUGAGUUUUCUCACCCAUCCAGCUGUUAUUUUAUCUACUUUCAUACCAAUAACAUACUAUUUAUGUAUUGACGUCUUGGGAACACCAUAUUUUAUUAAUGCAGGCUUAGAUCCUCAGGAUAACUGAUGUCCAUGUUGGGCCCUAUUGUCGUUUUCAGCUGAUAUUUUCGUGAGCUCCAUUUCUCAUUGGAGCCAGUCUAUGUGUAGUAUUUUUUAUUAUAUGUACAGGUUUCUACUUGGGUAUGUCAGGACAUUUGCCAACUGGUCACUUAUAAUAUAGCAUGGUAAACUGACCAGAGGCUUCACGGACAUCAUGCAAUAUUUUAUUGUACAAUUUUUGCUAAUAUAACUUCCUCGUGCAUAGAUACAACUCUUAUUGGAUAUACUACUAGUAAUUAUCCCAUAAUCUUGCAUACGUUAUAGAGUUCUUGUAAAGUAAGUGUAACACCCCAAGUUCUUGAACUUUAGACCCUUUAAGAGAUAAAUUAUUAAAUUAGCCAAGUUUCAGAAAAUGAUGUCAAACUACCAGUGGCAACGGGUUUGACAACGACUCAUUGCCAAAAUUCACAAGUCUUUAGGAGGACUCAUUGCCACAAUAGUGAGGAAGCCUAUACUUUGGUCCCUUGACAAAGAAUUUUGGAUACGACUCGUUGUUAGACACAACGAGUCGUUAUGAAGGACCCGUUUUCAUAAUAGUGAGGGACCAGAUUUUUGGUCCUCAGGUGACGACUACAGGUCAUGACUCAUGGUCAGACCUCAUGAGUCAUUACCCAAGUUGUGACGACUGUUCCUAUUUUUCCUAAAUAUUUUAAUAAGGUCUUUUUGGUCUUUUUAUCCCUUGAAACUCUUUUCCACGACCUAAGAACACUUAAAGGACCUCUUUGCCUUUAGUUAUUAAUAUUGAACUUACUCUUUUCCUCUUUAACUCCCAAGGCAAGAGAUACGAGGGUUUUACAAGGAAAUCUAACAUUCAAGCUCCAAACUUCAUAUUCCUCUCAAUUUUCUUUAUAUUUCACGCAUGCUUCUCAUCUCUAACUUAUAUUUUUACAUUAAGGUAUUUAUUUAAUCAUUAUUCAUGUGAUUUUAAUUGAUGGAUUUGAAAUUGGGCUGAGGAUUUUUUAUGGUUGUUACUUGGAUUGUUUUUAUCAUGAUUUAAAUGCGUUGAUCAUGCUUUAAUUUAUGAUUUUGGGACCUAAUGAGUGCAUUGUAUGAGGAUUGGAAUGGGGAACAUUCGUUUCCCCAAAUUGAUGGAUUUUUCUCUUAGUAUUGGCAUUAACCUCAACCCAUUUUGUGAACUUGGUUUUAGAUAUUAUUAUUCAUAAAGUUUAACUCACCUUUGAAACAUUGGUUUCCAUUAAAGGAUAAAUGGAUAAUGAAAUUGGUUUUGGAAUGCCCUUGGUGGCAAUGGAUUGGAUUUUAAAUAGAAAUUCGGAGUCAAAUGGUUAUAUGGAUUGGUUUGGGAUAAUUGAAUUAGCUUGCAAGCAUAUUGGUAUGACUAUACAACGUUGGGAAAUUACUUAAUAAAGACUCCUUGGUUAAUGGUUGGUUUUAUGUGUAAACUACUUUAAUUUAGGCUUAAAAGAAAUUGUGUAGCUAACCAUGAAGGUGUAGUCCCGGGGUGCCCAACUCUGUAAACCACGUUUGUUGAAUGGGGGCCUAUGGACCAUGUUCUUGGUGCACACUUUAUAUUUUGGAUGGCUAUCUCCUUGGUGUCUUUAGCUUUUUAUCGUUUUCCUCGUUACGUGUAGCUAACAUGCAUUGGGGCCCUUCCGGCAUGGGGAGUCAGAGUCAUAUAGCCCAUGGAUGCUUUUAGGCCAGAUCAAGCUACAUAGUUCAGGUUAAUAUUUUAAACCCUCAUGUUCAUGACUCUUGUCCCUAUCCCGACAUCCUAUAUAUGUAUAUAUAAAUAUUGUGCAUCUGGUUUUAAAUGGUUUUCUUUAAUGACAUUAUUUUAUCCCUUUUCCCUGAGUUACAUGCUAGUGCUCACCCCACUGACCGUCCCUAAACGCUGCAUCUUUUUAUGAUGUAGGGUACAGUGGAUUUUCUGUUACUCCUGUGCAGCGUUAGGUGGUGUGGUACGUUGGUUGAGUUGUUGUGAAGUUGUGAGCCUCUAUCACUAGGAAAGCCC